This 272-nucleotide small RNA is filed under the name Pontibacillus marinus BH030004 = DSM 16465. RNAcentral describes it as "BsrG". It matches the Rfam family "BsrG". From Rfam's summary of the family: bsrE, bsrG and bsrH pair through intermolecular interactions with antisense sRNAs. SR4 interaction with the 3'UTR of bsrG RNA promotes bsrG degradation and inhibits its translation. The record is from Rfam by way of RNAcentral. Lineage: Bacteria; Bacillati; Bacillota; Bacilli; Caryophanales; Bacillaceae.
AAUAGUGUUCGCAAUAUUAGGGCGGUCGGCUAUAUCCCCAAAAGAAAGGGGGUGUGGCCUAUAGAACUUUACCAUAUCCUAAUGAUGUUGUUUUCAGCAGGUAUGUUCCUUGUUGGUUUGUUAGGUUUUGUGGUGAAGCUUAUUAUCGAGUUAACGAAAGACCAAAAUAAAUAGACCCCCUAAUAUUGGCGUAUCGGGCGAGGUCUAUUUAUUGCAAUAGGCUGAUCCCCUUGAGGGAACACUAUUUUGGGCGAUCGUAGUUGCUACGGUCG